AUCACAUUGCCAGAGACUACUG
Molecule: microRNA, 22 nt
Filed under: Pundamilia nyererei
Lineage: Eukaryota; Metazoa; Chordata; Actinopteri; Cichliformes; Cichlidae
Description: pny-miR-23c
Gene: pny-miR-23c
Source: miRBase by way of RNAcentral